ACUAUAGACCAAUCAGAUCAGUGACGUCAAACUGCAGCCCCUGAAGACCAGCAUCCUGUAACUUUUAGACAAUGCUACCAUAACUGUGCCACCAGUACUUUUCUUAAAAUAAUUUUCUUAAAAUUAUAUUUGAAAAGCUGUUCUCAAAUCUAAGGCAUGGAU
Molecule: long non-coding RNA, 162 nt
Organism: Fundulus heteroclitus (mummichog)
Lineage: Eukaryota; Metazoa; Chordata; Actinopteri; Cyprinodontiformes; Fundulidae
Exons: 3
Source: RefSeq, a predicted model, not a curated record